GAAGGGAUCCCCCAACAACCGCAGCGGCGGCGUCGCCCGCAAGGUUCGCUCGAUACCCCUCUUCCCGCCUCCAUCAGGUUUCUGUGUCUUGUGCGAUCCGAUUGGAACUCUGGGACUCUGGGUGGCUCCUCUGGUUUCGAACGCCAGUUCCGCACGGGGAAUUUUUUGGGUGCCCUUGGGCAAGCGGUGGUUUCGUUCGAUGUACGGCCGCAGAUCAGCCCCUCCUCCUACGUUCUUCCUCCUCCUCCCAUACACUCUUCCUCCUCGCCCUCCUCUGUGAUUUCCCCCCUAGGCCGUUCAUCCCCUGCAGCCUUCCCUAACCCUAGAUCGAUGGGAUCGCCGCCAUCUCAUCUCCUCUACCCACAUACGGCGGGAGUAGCAGUGAAGACCGCCAUGGGUUGCUACUCUGUGGGCGGGCAUCCAGUACACCCCGACGGUGCCGCAGAUCGGCCCUUCCUCCUACGUGCUUCCUCCUCCCUCCUGCGUUUUCCCACCCGGUGCCGCGACAUCGAGGCCCUCAGCACCCUCAGCAUUUCAGCAACUUCCUCUUCUACAGGGAGGACAAGCUCACCCUCCUGCACACCAUCGUCAACAAGGCCCCGGGCUACCACGAGCACACCGUGGAUCUAUCACCCAGGUCUUUACUUCUAAACAAUCCAAUGCAUCUUGCAAAGGAACGGAUGGAGGAAAUCAAUUCACAACGCUUGUCGCAAAAAUUCGACCUGAAAUCCCUGUGCUUGCGAUAUAAUGAAGAGAAUUGCGGCAAACUUGCUAAUCUGGUACGUCAGGUUUGAAUUCUUCAGGAACUGCAAAGUUGCCUGUGGUUAUGUAUACCUCUCUUAUUGUCUUUUUAUACUGCAAAUGGUAGCUAACCCCUGGAAGAUACUUAUGAACACUUCAAAGCCAUAUUCGUUACUGAAUCAGUGGUAUCCAUGUCCUUCUUUACAGCUGAGAUGAUAUGUACUAUUCGAAAAAAAGCUGAGAUCAUGUGUGUUCCAGAAAAAAUGCCCAAAUCACAGCAUGAGAUUCCUUUUUGUUUUACUUAAUUCCUAUCGUGUAAGAUUUACAGCAAUGCAAUACAAGAUUUUUUGCUUCCAUCCAUAUUUAUUUGAAUUUUCCUUUUCCUGAAUUGACAAACUAUUUGUUCAAACUUAACUAUACUUUUCCUCAAGUGCCAUUUUAAUGAUCUCAGCAUGGGUUUUCACUUCAUGUUGGCAUUUCCUGAUAGAAUGAAUUUGUACAAAAUUAUGUUCUUUUGAGCUGUGACAAGGAUCCGGGAUGUUUUCAGUGAUGCUAUAUAGUUCACAGGAACAGGCUUGUCCAAUGUAAACUGCGAGAAUUUCAUGUGCUUAUUUUGCUACUAUGGAGAAGUUCAUCCAUUCACCGGCGCUUGCAGUAUGUAUAUUAAAGGGGCAGGUAAGAGAGAAACCUUAUUUUCUUCGCAGGCCUGACUACCUCCUCUUUGAGCGGCAGGUUAAUUGCUUUUUUUUUUCUUUCAGCUCAUCUGUUAAAGUUGUAGUGCAGUGUAGGUAAAAGAGGCUUCUGGGUUAUAUACAUUCUCUUCCUUUUAAUUGUGCUACACCGCUGGCGCACUCAUUAUGAUGUUCAAAUCUUAAAUUUUGAUGUUUUUAUUAUCUUAGUAUAAGGGGUAUGGGUUUUAUAUGUCUUGUUUCUCUGUUUUUGGGCUUUUCUUUUAAAUUGCUGGAUUGGGUAUUGCUCAUGGUCUCUAUAUUUAUUAUUCUCAUUUUUCAUAUACUAGACUUUGUUUCUAAAACUGAUUCUGGAUAAUUGAGAGUUAUUUACGGUCUGUUACAUGCAUUUAUUGGGUAUAGGAUUUGCAAAGCUACUACUCUACGGUAAAAGCAUGUGUGGUUUAUAUUAUUCUUAGCUGCAAAUGUGCAUCACCUUGAGAUGUGAACAGUAGCUACAUAUAUGAAGGCUUAGUACUAGCUGCAGCUGUGAGCAGCACUAAAAUUCUAUCCAAUGGCUUACCGUGUGUGUGAGAGAGGAGAGAGGGACUUGUAACAACACUUCUAUAUUGUGCAUUUUCAAAUUGACACUUUUAUUUUUACACAAGAAAAAAUAGAGUUUUCUCUUUCAACAUUUAUUUUUGUUAUUGUGAGCAUAUGAAUUGAGGUCCCAUAUUCCAUAUUUGAUGAGUGGCUUCCGGCUGAACAUCUAUCUACAUCAUGUCCUUCCUACAUGUAUCUAAUCUAAUAUUAUUAUGAUCUGAAAUCCGAAACAGAAGUUUAUGAGUUGCAUGUUGCAACUAAUUUACCUCAACAUCCUCCUAUUUAUUUAUUAUAUUCUUCUUUUGGUUUGAUGUGUUCUAUGUACGUCUACAGCCGGAAAGUCCUUUUGGAUCAUGGGCACCAGUGCCCUCAUUGUAUUAAAAAAUUUAAAAUUAUAUUUAUAUAUUUCAAAAAAUUAUGUAACGAAAUCCUAAAAGUAGCUAAUGAUGUAUUCCACUAACGUAUAACAUCUCAAUUACAAAUAUUUUGUUAUCUAAGCUACACAAAAAUGACAAAGUUUGAAUUUUUUUGUAGAUUUGAAUCACUAUACUCAGAUCCACAUAUUUAUUAUUUUUGUGCAGCUCAAAAUACACAUUAUUUCCAGUUGAAAAUUUACACGUUUGUGGGAUACAAUACUAACUACAUCAUGAUUUAUUUUCAGAUUUUUUAAAAACUUAGAAAUAUGGUUUUUAAUUACUUUUCUGAAAAGGGAUUACUGGUGCUCAUGUGCACCAAAUCUUUGUCCAUCUACAGCCUCCUUUUUUUUUUGUUUUAUGUGUUAUGUGAAGUUGCAGGAACUGAAGCCGUUGUUCUUUCUUCUCAGUACUUUAUUUCUACUGUUACGAGGACAUCAAUUUCACAUUCUGCUUGGUCACUAGCCCCUCUCAGGGUACCAACUUGGUGUGGCAGAUUUUGAAGAUCAUAUAUAGAAGACAUAUGGAGAAAUAUGGGAGCCAAAAUGUACAAGUUUAGGAGUAACUGAGGCAAGGCUCAUUGAAGAAGAAAGCACAAGAAGAAAGCACAGGUGCAUGACGAGUUAGCCAUUCAGCGGCGAUUCUCAUGGAGGGAGACAAAACUGAGAUUGGGCUUGUGGUUGGGUCAUCAUUUUCAUUUCGACUCAACUUGAGUUCAGGGUCACCGACUGCCAUGAAAAAUUAAUCAGUGUGCUAUUAGAGGCAAUGCAGCAAGGUGAAGUUAAUUUCCAGAGAAGAUGAAUAGUUCAUGCAUGCUUCCCAGAGGUAGCCAUAAGAGUAGUUAGGCUGUGGAUGGUG
Molecule: long non-coding RNA, 3283 nt
Organism: Lolium rigidum
Lineage: Eukaryota; Viridiplantae; Streptophyta; Magnoliopsida; Poales; Poaceae
Exons: 3
Source: RefSeq, a predicted model, not a curated record